Micropterus salmoides (largemouth bass) is the source of this 907-nucleotide long non-coding RNA. RefSeq lists it as uncharacterized. NCBI's taxonomy places the organism in Eukaryota, Metazoa, Chordata, Actinopteri, Centrarchiformes, Centrarchidae. The transcript is spliced from 5 exons. The record is from RefSeq and is a predicted model, not a curated record.
GUGUCCAACGUUCCACACUCAACUUCUUUGACCGCUAUAAGUAGCUUACACCAUGCGGGUACUCAUAGCGCACUUCAGUUCAUUCUUGUCAAUGUGAAUGCACUCAAAAUCCUGCUGCAGCAGCGGUGGAGUCCACAGCUCCAGACAUCGCCCCGCCUUCCCCUGCUGCUGCUGCCUGCGGGGUUCAGCCCGCUGUGAUGACCAUUAGCGUCUGGCUGAGGCUGCAGGAGAUAACAGUUGGAGAGUUAAUGAGGCUGAUAUGAAAAGGCUGGAGUCUUUCCACAACAGAUCCCCAAGAAACGCUUGCCUUGUUUUCUGGCUCAACAAGAUAUCCAACCAGGAGCUUCACACUCAGACCCAAAGCCAUAAAAUCCUUCAUGAGAUCACAGUGAUGCUAAGCUGGCUAGAACAUUUUCUGAGUAUAGACCACAACCAGAUUCUACAAAACAGUCUCCAGAUGAAUCCUAUCCGGUGAAAGAAAUCGAGUAUGAACUCGCUGCGUGCCAAUCUCCCCCUAUGGAGGGAGCUAAGAAGGGAAGAGGCUCGAGCUGUAGCAGCAAACGCUGGGAGUGAGCUGUUAACUCCCACACAUACCAGGAGCUGAAAGGUCUGCAAUGUUCACUUCUCAGCAGAAGCAGGACACUUCGGAGACAGUCCCUGUGCUGAUAAUCUUUCAUGGUGUGAGAACAAAUCCUGGAUGAAGCUGGCUCUAACACCAAGCCUAAUACUUUAGCCAAAGGUACAAAGAAAGACAAACUGCUUGGCCAGACUUUGAUCCUCCCAUACGAUGUUGAUGUGUUAAACGCUUUCCUAUCAGAUUGUGAACCCAGGGGCCGGUGCUACAGAUGAAAUUUUAAAUUCGGAACACAGACAUCCUGGAUCCCGCCAUUAAAAACAUUGUUUGCUG